Molecule: ribosomal RNA, 484 nt
Filed under: uncultured bacterium
Lineage: Bacteria
Description: partial 16S ribosomal RNA
Rfam family: Bacterial small subunit ribosomal RNA
Source: RNAcentral
AUUGAACGCUGGCGGCAGGCCUAACACAUGCAAGUCGAGCGGAUGAAGGGAGCUUGCUCCUGGAUUCAGCGGCGGACGGGUGAGUAAUGCCUAUGAAUCUGCCUGGUAGUGGGGGAUAACGUCCGGAAACGGGCGCUAAUACCGCAUACGUCGUGAUGGAGAAAGUGGGGGAUCUUCGGACCUCACGCUAUCAGAUGAGUCUAGGUCGGAUUAGCUAGUUGGUGGGGUAAAGGCCUACCAAGGCGACGAUCCGUAACUGGUCUGAGAGGAUGAUCAGUCACACUGGAACUGAGACACGGUCAAGACUCCUACGGGAGGCAGCAGUGGGGAAUAUUGGACAGUGGGCGAAAGCCUGAUCCAGCCAUGCCGCGUGUGUGAAGAAGGUCUUCGGAUUGUAAAGCACUUUAAGUUGGGAGGAAGGGCAGUAAGUUAAUACCUUGCUGUUUUGACGUUACCAACAGAAUAAGCACCGGCUAACUUCGUG